UGGGAUUAGAUACCCCACUAUCAUGAACAGUAAUUCGGUAAUCUUAGUAUUAAUAGUUAUGAUCUUUAAAUUAAAAGAAUUUGGCGGUAAUCUAGUCUGUUCAGAGGAAUCUGCCCUGUAAUUGAUAUUCCACGAUGAAUUUUACUUUAUCUAUGCUUGUAUAUCUCUGUCAUUGAAUGUCCUAUUAGGGUAUUUUCUUUAAUCUUUAAUGUGUAAGAUGUCAGGUCAAGGUGCAGCGAUGGUAAAGAAGAGGUGGAUUACAUUAAAUUUAUUUAUGGAUAGUGAAUAUGGAAAUUUUCUUGAAAUUGGAUUUGAAAGUAAUUUCUAUUAGAAUAUAGAUUUGAUUUUAGCUCUAGAUUAUGCACACACCG
RNAcentral lists this ribosomal RNA (371 nucleotides) under Triatoma infestans. Its description in RNAcentral is "partial 12S ribosomal RNA". Lineage: Eukaryota; Metazoa; Arthropoda; Insecta; Hemiptera; Reduviidae. The record is from RNAcentral.